Molecule: ribosomal RNA, 460 nt
Filed under: uncultured bacterium
Lineage: Bacteria
Description: partial 16S ribosomal RNA
Rfam family: Bacterial small subunit ribosomal RNA
Source: RNAcentral
CCUACGGGGGGCAGCAGUGAGGAAUAUUGGUCAAUGGGCGCGAGCCUGAACCAGCCAAGUAGCGUGAAGGAUGACUGCCCUACGGGUUGUAAACUUCUUUUAUAAAGGAAUAAAGUGAGGCACGUGUGCCUUUUUGUAUGUAUUUUAUGAAUAAGGAUCGGCUAACUCCGUGCCAGCAGCCGCGGUAAUACGGAGGAUCCGAGCGUUAUCCGGAUUUAUUGGGUUUAAAGGGAGCGUAGAUGGGUUGUUAAGUCAGUUGUGAAAGUUUGCGGCUCAACCGUAAAAUUGCAAUUGAUACUGGCAGCCUUGAGUACAGUUGAGGUAGGCGGAAUUCGUGGUGUAGCGGUGAAAUGCUUAGAUAUCACGAAGAACCCCGAUUGCGAAGGCAGCUUACUAAACUGUGUCUGACAUUGAUGCUCGAAAGUGUGGGUAUCAAACAGGAUUAGAUACCCUGGUAGUC